UUCCGGUUGAUCCUGCCGGAGGUUACUGCUAUCGAGGUUCGACUAAGCCAUGCGAGUCGAAUGUAGCAAUACAUGGCGAACUGCUCAGUAACACGUGGACAACCUGCCCUUAGGACGGGGAUAAACCCGGGAAACUGGGUAUAAUACCCGAUAGGUCUCGAUUGCUGGAAUGCAUCGAGAUUUAAAGCUCCGGCGCCUAAGGAUGGGUCUGCGGCCUAUCAGGUAGUAGUGGGUGUAGCGUACCUACUAGCCUACGACGGGUACGGGUUGUGAGAGCAAGAGCCCGGAGAUGGAUUCUGAGACACGAAUCCAGGCCCUACGGGGUGCAGCAGGCGCGAAAACUUUACAAUGCUGGCAACAGCGAUAAGGGAACCUCGAGUGCCAGGUUACAAAUCUGGCUGUCGAGAUGCCUAAAAAGCAUUUCAUAGCAAGGGCCGGGCAAGACCGGUGCCAGCCGCCGCGGUAACACCGGCGGCUCGAGUGGUAACCGUUAUUAUUGGGUCUAAAGGGUCUGUAGCCGGCCGGAUAAGUCUCUUGAGAAAUCUGGCAGCUUAACUGUCAGGCUUUCAGGAGAUACUGUCUGGCUCGAGGCCGGGAGAGGUGAGAGGUACUUCAGGGGUAGGGGUGAAAUCUUGUAAUCCUUGAAGGACCACCAGUGGCGAAGGCGUCUCACCAGAACGGACCUGACGGCAAGGGACGAAAGCUAGGGGCACGAACCGGAUUAGAUACCCGGGUAGUCCUAGCCGUAAACGAUACUCGCUAGGUGUCGGCCACGGUGCGACCGUUGUCGGUGCCGUAGGGAAGCCGUGAAGCGA
RNAcentral lists this ribosomal RNA (815 nucleotides) under uncultured archaeon. Its description in RNAcentral is "bacterial SSU rRNA". It matches the Rfam family "Archaeal small subunit ribosomal RNA", at positions 1 to 822 of the family's 1478-position model. The record is from RNAcentral.